UUCUUUUCUGUAGCAGGUUGUCUUUUCAUUUUGUUGAUGGGUUCCUUUGCUGUGCAAAAGCUUUUAAGUUUGAUUAGGUCCCAUUUGUUUAUUUUUGCUUUUAUUUCUUUUGCUUUGGGAGACUGAUCCAAGAAUAUAUUGCCAUAAUUUAUGUUGGAAAACGUUUUGCCUAUGUUAUCUUCAUGGAGUUUCAAUGGUCUCAUGCCUUAGAUUUCAUUAUUUUUAUAUUUGGCUUCCAAAUGCACGAUCUGACCACUGGAGCCGUUGGUGAGUGGAAGAAAGGAGGUUGAGGGGCCUGGGCCUCCCAUCCUCCAGGAAAUCUUGUCACAACACAAGUCUACAGAAAAGGCACUGUCCUGCUUGGUCAUCCAUUCUCCCUGCCUUGCUCUCUUCUGACCAACACUGAGACUGUACAGAGUGCACAAAGAUGCCCAGGACAAUGAGGGAGUACGAGUGAUGGAAGCAGGGAGGCAAGGGAAGGAGCAAAGAGCCAAUAUUUCCAUUCUGUCCUCAUCAAGCUCUGAGUGGCUGACACUCAGGUACGUUAGCUCAUCUGUCUGCUCAUUCAGCCUUUGAGUGUGUCCUGGGGGCUGGGUGGUUCUCUGCCUGCCUGCCUCCACGGAUAGACAAGGAGGACACCUCCUGGGGCAGGCAUCCUUUCCUGCCAAGGGAUGCAGUCUUCCUUCCUUUAGGGGCCAGUGUGCCCGUCACAGCUCCAUUUCACUCCCGAGGCCAGGAGCCCCCAGCUGGAGGGCCUGGCAUGGAUGAGGGGAGGCCCCACCCCUUGUCCCCUGCUCAGCCAGACUUCCUCUGACCUCUGCAGGUGGGAAAGCUGCUUACGUCGACUCUCUUCUACUUCCUGAAGCUGCGGUCCUCCUCUUCCUGUAGGAAGGCCUACUGGGCAGGUCAUCUGUGUACACGCCAGACCACAACUGCGUCAGCUGAGGUGAGACCUACCCAUCCUGCAUAACUCACGGGAGGUAAAGGCAGGUCUAUACGUGUGCAGGCUGCAGGGCAGGCAUCCAGGGUGAAGGGGAGAGGACCAGGAUUCACUCACUCAGUGCCAGGCACAGACUCCAGUGCCGUCCCCAUUUGCACUCAGAAGGCCACCUGACAGGAUGUCUGAGAUCUCCACCUCCCUUCUGACUUUUCUCCUCUAGUCCCACAGCCAAGGGUCUCUCUUCUUCCUCCAUGUUUCAGGCUUUAUCUCACCCACCAGUAUAUAACCGGGGCCCCUUUUCUAUUCCAACCCAACCCCAACAUUAUACUUUUUGACAGAGCUUGCCCUCGCAGAGUGCUUCAGUUCCCUUGCACAUCCUCCCAGUUCACCUGUGGACUGGGAGGUCUGAAGGGACGAGGGACGGAAGGCCCCCCUAGUGAUGCUCCCUCUGCCCUGGCUCUGGGAGGGGACAGCGUGUGGUCUUACUAGUCCUAAGACCCCAGAGGACAGGGACUCAAAGGAUUCUCCAGAACGGUGCUCGCCAACCCCAGCCUGGACCACAAAGUCUUCCCUAAAGAACAGCCACAAACUCGACUUGAGUGUCAUCUCCCCGAGCUUUCGUUUCCUAAUUUGUAAAAGGACAGACCAGAAGCAGAUGAUUAAGAAACCCUGCUUAGGUCACCUUAGAUUUGAUUGUCAGUCAACAAAUAGACAUUUCCACAAGUACUUUCUGUGUGCUGGGGUACAAGGCCUUUGAUUCCAUGAACAAUUUACACUUGUAUAGUUCUUUUAAUUUUUAAAGCCCUUUCUAUCCAUUCUUCUCCUGACUGCAGCCCAAAGAGAACAGGUAUUAAUUCUCUCUUCACUUUACAGCUUCAAUGGGAGGACCGUGGUUCUGAUCUCCAGAGUUCCACGUGCCUGUCCAGCCCUGUGACACCAUUCCCAGAGUUUCUAUACUUGGUGGAAAUGGGCAAAGGUAGUCAAUGUUAGUUUUCUGGUACCCAGCCAGGGGCCCUGAUUUCCUCAGGCCCAGGGGCAGGACUGGUUCUGAGGGUUGGGGUGACUCUAGCUGCACCCCCGCUCCCCACUACACUCCCUGCUUCAACUGCCACCUCGUUUCUACCAUCGGGCACCACCACGUUGCAGGGGGGCCAGCAAAGCCACUAGCACUUCAAACAGCACGCUCAGGCUUUGCUUCAGGGUUAAGCCGCCGGCCUUAUACCAGUGAUUUGUUUACACCAUCCGUGCUUUCCUUUCAAAUGUAAGAGUCCUCGCCACAUAGGUGAGGUCACUGUAGAAAUCAAGUCCAGAGACACCGUCUUCCCCCGCCCAUCACCAGAACACCCGAUGGGGUCUAGAGGUGCUGCUUUGAGGCCGCCUGGGGCAGCGAGGUACUGCGCCAUAGGGUCAGUCUGGCUGGCCCUCAGGCUCCAGACAGACCACCCAGGCCUGUUGGGCCCCACUGGGUCUCACAGGCUGGGCCCACAUCAGAGUCAAUGGAACUGGAGGCCCUGUCCUUGCCUCCUGUCACCACUGUGUGUCCUCCUCCCCAAGGGGCUCAGAGGCUCCUCCAGGGCCAGCAGGGUCUCUGCAUCCCGUACCAGAGUAGGCCCGGUGGGGGCAGCGUCUCCCCAGACCCUGCCCACACUCUGCCCUCACUGGGACCCUCUGGCCUCGGACAGGGCACAGAGGCCCGGGUAAUGGGGGGAAGGGCAGGCGGUGGGUUAGAGGAGGGCAGUGCUGGCGGGCCAAUGACUAAAAUACUACAACGGCUGCCUAGAGAUGGCAGGGGCACCUGGGUCACGUUAGGAAAUCCUGCCACCGGUGAGGGUGAGGUUUUCUAUGCCGAGAACUGGCGGAAAAGUCAGCGUCUGGGCACCUUGGGCCAAGUUGGGGAAAGGCUGGCCACAGCCAUUGCCAGGAGGCAGGAGUGGGCUCGGCUGAGGAGGAGGAAGGAACCAGGCAGCGUGGAGGGAAGAAGCCAUGCACAAAGGCAAAGGAUCCCUG
This is a long non-coding RNA of Bubalus bubalis (water buffalo), 2947 nucleotides long. RefSeq lists it as uncharacterized. Lineage: Eukaryota; Metazoa; Chordata; Mammalia; Artiodactyla; Bovidae. The record is from RefSeq and is a predicted model, not a curated record. The transcript has 2 exons.